UACGUAGGGUCCGAGCGUUGUCCGGAAUUACUGGGCGUAAAGAGCUCGUAGGUGGUUUGUCGCGUUGUUCGUGAAAACUCACAGCUCAACUGUGGGCGUGCGGGCGAUACGGGCAGACUAGAGUACUGCAGGGGAGACUGGAAUUCCUGGCGUAGCGGUGGAAUGCGCAGAUAUCAGGAGGAACACCGGUGGCGAAGGCGGGUCUCUGGGCCGUUACUGACGCUGAGGAGCGAAAGCGUGGGGAGCGAACAGG
Molecule: ribosomal RNA, 253 nt
Filed under: uncultured bacterium
Lineage: Bacteria
Description: partial 16S ribosomal RNA
Rfam family: Bacterial small subunit ribosomal RNA
Source: RNAcentral